Molecule: ribosomal RNA, 564 nt
Filed under: uncultured bacterium
Lineage: Bacteria
Description: partial 16S ribosomal RNA
Rfam family: Bacterial small subunit ribosomal RNA
Source: RNAcentral
UGGGGAAUAUUGCACAAUGGGCGAAAGCCUGAUGCAGCAACGCCGCGUGAGUGAUGAAGGCCUUCGGGUUGUAAAGCUCUGUCUUUUGGGACGAUAAUGACGGUACCAAAGGAGGAAGCCACGGCUAACUACGUGCCAGCAGCCGCGGUAAUACGUAGGUGGCAAGCGUUGUCCGGAUUUACUGGGCGUAAAGGAUGCGUAGGCGGAUUUUUAAGUGAGAUGUGAAAACCCUAAGCUUAACUUGGGGACUGCAUUUCAUACUGGAAAUCUAGAGUGCGGGAGAGGAGAAUGGAAUUCCUAGUGUAGCGGUGAAAUGCGUAGAGAUUAGGAAGAACACCAGUGGCGAAGGCGAUUCUCUGGACCGUAACUGACGCUGAGGCAUGAAAGCGUGGGUAGCAAACAGGAUUAGAUACCCUGGUAGUCCACGCCGUAAACGAUGAGUACUAGGUGUAGGAGGUAUCGACCUCUUCUGUGCCGCAGUUAACACAAUAAGUACUCCGCCUGGGAAGUACGAUCGCAAGAUUAAAACUCAAAGGAAUUGACGGGGGUCAUAGCUGUUUUCCU